UCUGGGCCGUGUCUCAGUCCCAAUGUGGCCGGUCACCCUCUCAGGUCGGCUACUGAUCGUCGCCUUGGUGGGCCGUUACCUCACCAACUAGCUAAUCAGACGCGGGUCCAUCUCAUACCACCGGAGUUUUUCACACCGUACCAUGCGGUACUGUGCGCUUAUGCGGUAUUAGCAGUCAUUUCUAACCGUUAUCCCCCUGUAUGAGGCAGGUUACCCACGCGUUACUCACCCGUCCGCCACUCGGUAAAUAAGAAUCCAUCCGAAAACUUCAACUUAUUUGCCUCGUUCGACUUGCAUGUGUUAGGC
RNAcentral lists this ribosomal RNA (306 nucleotides) under uncultured bacterium. RNAcentral describes it as "partial 16S ribosomal RNA". The record is from RNAcentral.